Molecule: long non-coding RNA, 299 nt
Filed under: Helianthus annuus (common sunflower)
Lineage: Eukaryota; Viridiplantae; Streptophyta; Magnoliopsida; Asterales; Asteraceae
Description: hypothetical non coding rna
Source: RNAcentral
GAAGGCGGAGAAGACAACCGUAGAACCCGCGACUUUUUUUUGUUGUAUUUUUGGUUUCGUGUUAAGAGUAUCGCACGUCGCCGGAAGAAGAAAGCCCUCACCGGAGCAUCCCGAAGUCAUCGGAAACUAACCCGGAAUUCGCUCUAUCCUCCACUGUUUGAACAUGGAGCUUUAUGGAAUUUAUGAAAAAGAUGACUUAUGUUUCUGUUAACCACUUUUGUUCGUACUCGUGGUUUCCCAAUCUUUACUCGUCCGUUCUUACAAGAAAGCGCAACGCAAUCAAUGUGAGUAUACAUGAC